CGAUUUUCUCCCAAGAAAUGGUCAUGGAAGCUUGAAAAAUUUCAGCAACUUUAAGCCUUCAUAGGUAAGUGUUUCUAAUGAGAUUUCUUGAAGAUUUUUACAUUUUUAAGAUUCUUGUGUCAUGACCUUUCUAAUGAAUGGACUAUUUUACAAGAUGAACAAGAUUCUAGGGUUUUUCCAUGAGAGCAUUUAGGUUGUUUUCUGAAAUUUUAUAGAAGAAUAUGAUCCUUUGGUGAGUAAUAAACAACUUUUGUGAAGGGGUUUCUCAUGAAAACCCUAAUAGGUACUAUUAUACAUGAGUUAUAAAAUAGAUGAUAAAUGUGUGAAAUAGUGGAAAUGGUGAAUUAUUAUAAGAGUAAAAAGGGUUCGGCUAGGCUUAUAGUAUGAACAAAUUCGAUAAAAAUUAAUUUUCAAGCAUAGGGGUAAAAUGGUCAUUUUGUGAAAGUCUAAGGGCAAAAUAGUCAUUUUGCCUAAUUAUGAACUUUCGGGCAUCUAAAUUGAUAUGCUGAUGAAAUAAAUGAAUUUUAUUAAUUUAGAUUAAGAGAAACGUGAUUCGGGGCUUGAUCGGGGUAAGAAUAAAGUUUACGAGGAUUAAGCUCGUCUUCAUCAUUUUGUAUUGAGGUACGUACAUAUGUAAAUAAUGUGUUAUUGAAGCUCACUUUGGUAUAUUUUAGUAAUAUACAUUUCUAAUUAGCUUAUUGUUGUUACGUAUUUAAAUUCUAAUUGUUGCCAUGAAUGUUUAAAUGACAUGUUGUGUGAGUAAAUUACAAUGUGCGUAAAUGCGAUGCUAUUCGAUUAGAUAUGAAGUCCCGUCAAACCUUAGACAUAGCAUAGGAUACAAAGGGGCAUGUUAUGAAAAUUAUGUGGUCUGAACUCAUGAGUUAAGUCUGAGUUCAUGAGAUAAAUGUUAUAGGUAACGUGGGUUAGGGUACUGACUUUAUGUACAGACCCAUGAGUGGCUCAAUGAACAUACGUUACAUGAUAGCUAUGGGGUCCAGGUACUGACUUAAUAAAAAGGCCCUUGAGUAGCUCAAAUGUGAGCGUUUCAUAGCACGAGGUAGCCCUGAUUUCUUAUAUGGCAAUUUAGACGCAAACUCCUCGCGUAUCCUUAUGUAUUUCGAGAGUUUAACGGGUAACCGAAGAUUUAGUUGGUGAAUACUUUGAUAAGGUAUGUAUUCCAAACUCAUAGUUAAGACCUGAGUAAAGGACUAGGUGUAUUAAGUAUACAUGAAUGAAAAGAAGAAUAAGGUAGAGACGUUAAGUGAUUUAUAUCUUUUAAGCAUGGCAAGCUACCGUUGGAUGAAUAUGAUUUUCUUAUAAUUACACUUUAUUUGUAUAUAUGUACUUACUAAGCUCCCACACUUACCCUCAUUUCUUUUCUCUCCUUAUAGUGCCACCAAGCUAGCAUCGGGGAUCCAGUGACAUCAAAAGCUUCAAUCACACUAUCACUCAAGAUCUUGGUAUAGCUAGUUUCAUUGUUAUGUUUUCUAGCAUGUAUAGGGACUCGAGUUGUUGUUUAGUGUUUUGUUAGUUAGCCAUAAUGUGUUGGCCAAUAUGAUAAAUAUGAUACUCAUUUUGUAUAAGGCCAUGGAUGAUGGUCAAUACUCCUUUUGAUUUAUAAAUAGAAGAUGAUAUUUUC
RNAcentral lists this long non-coding RNA (1639 nucleotides) under Gossypium barbadense (sea-island cotton). RNAcentral describes it as "long non-coding RNA (GBAR_LNC005582)". The record is from RNAcentral. Lineage: Eukaryota; Viridiplantae; Streptophyta; Magnoliopsida; Malvales; Malvaceae.